UCCGGAAUUAUUGGGCGUAAAGAGGGAGCAGGCGGCAGCAAGGGUCUGUGGUGAAAGCCUGAAGCUUAACUUCAGUAAGCCAUAGAAACCAGGCAGCUAGAGUGCAGGAGAGGAUCGUGGAAUUCCAUGUGUAGCGGUGAAAUGCGUAGAUAUAUGGAGGAACACCAGUGGCGAAGGCGACGAUCUGGCCUGCAACUGACGCUCAGUCCCGAAAGCGUGGGGAGCAAAUAGGAUUAGAUACCCUAGUAGUCCACGCCGUAAACGAUGAGUACUAAGUGUUGGAUGUCAAAGUUCAGUGCUGCAGUUAACGCAAUAAGUACUCCGCCUGAGUAGUACGUUCGCAAGAAUGAAACUCAAAGGAAUUGACGGGGGCCCGCACAAGCGGUGGAGCAUGUGGUUUAAUUCGAAGCAACGCGAAGAACCUUACCAGGUCUUGACAUACUCAUAAAGGCUCCAGAGAUGGAGAGAUAGCUAUAUGAGAUACAGGUGGUGCAUGGUUGUCGUCAGCUCGUGUCGUGAGAUGUUGGGUUAAGUCCCGCAACGAGCGCAACCCUUAUCGUUAGUUACCAUCAUUAAGUUGGGGACUCUAGCGAGACUGCCAGUGACAAGCUGGAGGAAGGCGGGGAUGACGUCAAAUCAUCAUGCCCCUUAUGACCUGGGCUACACACGUGCUACAAUGGAUGGUGCAGAGGGAAGCGAAGCCGCGAGGUGAAGCAAAACCCAUAAAACCAUUCUCAGUUCGGAUUGUAGUCUGCAACUCGACUACAUGAAGUUGGAAUCGCUAGUAAUCGCGAAUCAGCAUGUCGCGGUGAAUACGUUCUCGGGCCUU
RNAcentral lists this ribosomal RNA (829 nucleotides) under Thomasclavelia ramosa DSM 1402. RNAcentral's name for it is "bacterial SSU rRNA". It matches the Rfam family "Bacterial small subunit ribosomal RNA", at positions 544 to 1382 of the family's 1533-position model. Lineage: Bacteria; Bacillati; Bacillota; Erysipelotrichia; Erysipelotrichales; Coprobacillaceae. The record is from RNAcentral.